This is a small nucleolar RNA of Myotis daubentonii (Daubenton's bat), 119 nucleotides long. The record is from RefSeq and is a predicted model, not a curated record. NCBI's taxonomy places the organism in Eukaryota, Metazoa, Chordata, Mammalia, Chiroptera, Vespertilionidae.
CCUCUCUGUAAAAAAUCAAUAAAAUAUGAGCCGUCAAGAAAGGGCAAAGGAAAAACACUGCUUUUGGGUGAAGUGGCAGUGUGUUGUGUUGCUUUGCUUCAAUUGGUGGUGUGACAAGG